GCCGGCAGCUGGACCCGGUAGUAGCUCUUCUCCGCUUAAAUUUCCUUCUCCUUUUGCAGCUCGCUGCCGCUCACGCCUACCGGACUCAGGGUCUCGAGUCUGCAGCGCAGGCAUUGCCCUGGGUGACAGCGCUGGGAGCAUGGCCUUGCACCUGAGCAGACUGAGCGCCAGUUCCUGCUGGCGUGUGGCGCAGGGCAGCUGCGGCGCGCUGCGCGCUUGGCCCCAGCGGUGCGCAACCGGGCGCAUCUGCCGGCUGCCUGGCACGGCUGGCACGGUGCAUAGCCGCGAGCUGGGACACGGCCCCACAGCGCGGGGCGGCCCCAGGCUGGGGGCCGGGCUGACUGCGGCGCUCGCGGGGCUUGCGGGGCUGGCCGCCGCCGUCGGUUUCGGACAUGUGGAGCGAGCGGAGAUGGUGCCCAAGAGCACGGGGGCGCGGAGCCCCGAGCCGGAGAGGCCAGAGGAGCAGGACGAGCUGGCCCGCCGCUGCAGCUGCUUCAUGGCCUCGCCUGUGACCGACCUGCGUGAGCUGCGGGGGAGGCCAGGCGACAUGAAGACCAAGAUGGAGCUGUUGAUCAUGGAGACCCAGGCCCAGGUGUGCCAGGCGCUGGCACAGGUAGACGGAGGCGCCAGCUUCUCUGUGGACCGGUGGGAGAGGAAGGAAGGAGGUGGUGGCAUAAGCUGUGUGCUUCAAGACGGUCGUGUCUUUGAAAAGGCUGGAGUGAGCGUCUCUGUUGUUCACGGAAAUCUUUCUGAGGAAGCAUCAAAGCAAAUGAGAAGCAGAGGGAAAAUGCUGAAGACUAAAGAUGGUAAAUUGCCAUUUUGUGCUAUGGGCGUGAGCUCUGUUAUCCAUCCCAAGAAUCCUCAUGCUCCUACCAUCCAUUUCAACUACAGAUACUUUGAAGUAGAAGAAGCAGAUGGUAACAAGCAGUGGUGGUUUGGUGGUGGAUGUGACCUUACUCCAACAUACUUGAACCUAGACGACGCUGUCCAUUUUCACAGAACUCUAAAGAAGGCUUGUGACCAGCAUGGUCCAGAUCUGUACCCCAAAUUUAAAAAAUGGUGCGAUGAUUACUUUUUUAUAGCCCAUCGAGGAGAGCGGAGAGGCAUCGGGGGGAUCUUUUUUGAUGAUCUUGACUCUCCAUCCAAGGAAGAGGUGUUCCGCUUUGUGCAGAGCUGUGCCCAGGCUGUAGUCCCUUCUUACAUUCCCCUUGUGAAAAAGCACUGUGAUGACUCCUUCACUCCCCAGGAGAAGCUGUGGCAGCAGCUCAGGAGAGGCCGGUAUGUGGAAUUUAACUUGCUGUAUGAUCGGGGCACAAAGUUUGGCCUCUUUACUCCAGGAUCCAGGAUCGAAAGCAUCUUGAUGUCUUUACCUUUAACUGCCCGAUGGGAGUACAUGCAUUCACCCUCAGAGAAUUCCAAAGAAGCUGAAAUUCUGGAAGUUUUGCGCCACCCAAGAGAUUGGGUGCAUUGAUGGCAGGCAGAGCAGCCAUGCUGGGGCUUGGGGGACACAGGGUGUGUGCCCCCUCCCCCUGGCUGGCAUGUGGCCACUACAGAGCAGUUUGGUACCCGUGCCUUCGUGUUUCCCAGUUUUCUUCACUCUGGGCCUACCUCCUUUGCAGGGGGUAAAAUGUGUUUUAAACACCAACUUCCUGGUGGAUGCUGUCAGUGUUGGUCUAUGAGAUGGCAAAUUGUUUGUUCUUUAGAGCCAUUUAGUCAAUAUAAAAACUUGUUUAUACUUCUAGAAUGGUUUUAUAUGACUAGUUUAUGAAAUAUGACAUUGAAUUUAUAAGUCCUGAAUAAAGAGAAUCUAAAUAUUAUAAUUAUAUCAUGAAGCUUCUCAUUUUUUUUGUUUUCAUAUAUUUUUUAAAAGUUUUCAUUUUUGCCACAAAAAUCUCCACACUGGGAUAAAUUUCAUUUUCAUUAAUUCAGUGAAAUUGAGACUUACUAGUAAUUUUAGGAAGUAGCUUGAAACUGAGAUAAAAGUUUUACUUUGUCCUUCCUAAAGUUUCUUGGAUCAUCGUGCUUAUAUUUUAUAUCCCCCUGGAAACCCUGGUGGCAUAGUGGUUAAGAGCUCGGCUGCUAACCAAAAGGUCGGCAGUUUGAAUCCACCAGGUACUCCUUGGAAACCCUAUGGUGCAGUUCUACACUGUCCUAUAGGGUCACUAUGAGUCGGAAUCGACUUGACGGCAAUGGAUUUUUUGGUAGAGACCAAAAUAUUGGAAAAUAAAUAUUCAUUUUUUUAACUAUAUAUACUUAGGAAAACUUGAUAUUUUCCUAGUCUCUGCAUGUGGUUCAGUUCAAUGAUUACCUAUAGUUAUUAACCUCUAAAGUGACAUUAUUGGUAUUUAAAGAUGUCUAAGUUGUAAUUUUGACUUUUGUAGAACUAUACCAUAUUUUUGUGCAAAUAACACACGCUUCCUAUGUUUGUUUACCAACCGCGCCCUCCCCCUGAGGUAUUUUUGUAAGCACACUAUGCUAGCAUGUAAAAAAAAAUGGGCGUAGUGGCACUUAUGAAAAUACUUCGCGGGGGAGGAGACAGUUGGCAAACAAACAUUGGAGGCGUGUGUUAUUUGUGUAAAAAUAUGGUAAUUUGUUAAUGUUGGUAUUCUCUGUACUGUUGAAUGUGAAAAGUUAUAUCCCUGGAUUCUGAUACUUAAAAUUUUCUAUUCUAGACAUUUCUGUAUGGAAGUUUAGACUAAAAAUAAUGCUGGGAAAGUUGUGAUUUUAGAAAAGUUUCUCAUUUUGGAAAUGAAUUGGAAUGAAAUUACCAUCUUUCUCAAAAUAGAGUUUCUGCAAAAUGGAGAUUCUUAUCUUUGCUCUUAAGAGAAUAUCACAACAGAAUUUCUAAUGUGUAGCUUCUUUGUUCAUAUGAUAAUGUUUAUGACAUGCUAAACACUGUGCAAAGUGCUUACCUGCAUUUUCUUAUUUAAUUCUCACAAUAACCGUCUGAGGAAGCCACCAAUCUGCCGGACGUGGUAGACCCCGCCUGGGGGAGGACAACUGGAAGCUUGGGCCUGAUGUCUCCGAGACGCCACCCUAUGCACUUGAUUUUAAACUAGAUCCUUUCACUGUAACAAACUGCGCCUGUAAGUAUAACAGCUUCUCUGAGUUCUGUGAGUCCUUCUAGCAAAUCUUUGAGCCUGAGGGUGGUCUUGGGGAUCCCUGACACAGGUGUUUAGUAAAUCAGUUAAAGUCACACUGAAGACAUUAGAACAAUUUAUCAGAUAUUUCAUAAAUAGAAAAACUAGGCAAAUGAUUGGUUAGCACUUUGAAGGAAAAAGGAAGAGUGGAUUAGAUUAGUCGGGAGUGGAGUUUUGUCAUUCCCAAUUGCUCUUGCUCCCCUUGCAGUGGAAAAUAUAUACAUGCAGAUACAUUUACAUGUUAUACAUAGAUACAUCGGUAAGUAUUUCACUUUUCGUAGUCAACAUCAAUAAUAAUACUUCAUUUUUUAAACUAAGAAAUUUGA
This is an RNA transcript of Trichechus manatus latirostris (Florida manatee), 3466 nucleotides long. It is a transcript of the gene named coproporphyrinogen oxidase, with no coding region annotated. NCBI's taxonomy places the organism in Eukaryota, Metazoa, Chordata, Mammalia, Sirenia, Trichechidae. The transcript has 9 exons. The record is from RefSeq and is a predicted model, not a curated record.